Molecule: unclassified non-coding RNA, 145 nt
Filed under: soil metagenome
Description: partial internal transcribed spacer 1
Source: RNAcentral
UAAUAAGUGUUUAAUGGCACUUUUUAAAUCCAUAUCCACCUUGUGUGCAAUGUCAGUCGAUCUUCUUCAUGGAGAUCGACCAAACAUCAACCUUUAUCUUUUAACUCUUUGUCUGAAAAAUAUUAUGAAUAAACAAUUCAAAAUA